UACGAAGGGGGCGAGCGUUGUUCGGAAUUACUGGGUUUAAAGGGUGCGUAGGCGGCCUUGUAAGUCAGGAGUGAAAGUUUGCAGCUCAACUGUAAAAUUGCUUCUGAUACUGCUUGGCUGGAAUUAGGAUGAGGUCAGCGGAAUGUGGCAUGUAGCGGUGAAAUGCAUAGAUAUGCCAUAGAACACCAAUUGCGAAGGCAGCUGGCUAGACCUGGAUUGACGCUGAGGCACGAAAGCGUGGGGAGCGAACAGG
RNAcentral lists this ribosomal RNA (253 nucleotides) under uncultured bacterium. RNAcentral's name for it is "partial 16S ribosomal RNA". It matches the Rfam family "Bacterial small subunit ribosomal RNA", at positions 524 to 776 of the family's 1533-position model. The record is from RNAcentral.